This 80-nucleotide non-coding RNA is filed under the name unclassified sequences. The record is from RNAcentral.
AACUCUCUGCCGCCGGGCAGUGCGCGUUGGUUCCGUAUCGUUAGGCCUUAGAAGAUACGGGCGCCAGCGCUUUUUUGUUG